UACGUAGGCGGCUUGAUAAGUCAGAUGUGAAAUCCCGGGCUUAACCUGGGAACUGCAUUUGAAACUGUCUGGCUAGAGUGAGUGAGAGGUUAGUGGAAUUCAAGGCGUAGCGGUGAAAUGCGUAGAGGUCUUGAGGAACAUCAGUGGCGAAGGCGACUAACUGGCACUACACUGACGCUGAGGUACAAGCGUGGGAGCGAACA
This 203-nucleotide ribosomal RNA is filed under the name uncultured bacterium. Its description in RNAcentral is "partial 16S ribosomal RNA". It matches the Rfam family "Bacterial small subunit ribosomal RNA", at positions 568 to 774 of the family's 1533-position model. The record is from RNAcentral.